Molecule: non-coding RNA, 5110 nt
Organism: Leptonychotes weddellii (Weddell seal)
Lineage: Eukaryota; Metazoa; Chordata; Mammalia; Carnivora; Phocidae
Source: RefSeq, a predicted model, not a curated record
CUGGUGCGAGCCUAGCCUUCGUUCCUUCGCCGUCCCGACCGUGCUUUCGCGCGUGCAGCUGCCGCAGUCUUUCUAGAUUAACCGGCCCCAUCUCCCGUCUUCCCGAUUCGGCCCUGGCCUUAAUCGUUUCUCGACCCAGGCCGCGGACUUCGUUUCCGCCACUACCCCGAUACUUCCGGGAUCUGCGGAAACGGCCCGUUGCCAUGGCGGCUAUGUACACAGUUCUGCAGCGGCGAGUGCGGGCUUGCAGUCGCUGCACAGGCAGCGGAAGGCGGCGGGAGGGCCACUGCCUCCGGGGCGGUGAACAGGGGCCACGCUUCGCCCGGGUGAGGAGAAGCAAGGCUCGAGAGGGGCGGGCAGCGACUAGGAUCCGAACACCGCUCCACCCGGGAGUCCCCCGGCUUAGCUCGCUGAUCUGUGAAACCCGAGCCGAGGAGAGGGCGCGGCAUCGUGGGGACCCUUUCCGGCUGGCUGCGACUUAGGGUCUUCGAAUCUAACGUUCCCUGGCCGCACGAGGGCUCUGCGUCGCUGCCUAGGUUGAGAGGGCCCGAAGUGGGGAACCAGAGGUCUGGACAGUUUUCGAACUGGAGGGGGCUUCAGGAUCGCCAGGUCGACCCGCUCGCUUUACAGAUGAGGAAACCGCUCCAGAGAGGGACAGGAAUGGUCCCAAGGCCAACUGCCUCCCACAAUCCACAAAGGGGUCCGUAGUGACGGAAGAUGGACCCACAUGUGGAGAUUCAGCUGUCCUCUGACUUCCAGCCAUGACCAUCACUACCAACCACCAUUUCUUGAGUUCCUGCUCUGUGCUGGGCACUGUUCUGGACACUGAGGGGGGAUUCAAAAGAGAUAAAGCACAGUUCAAUCCCUCAAGCAACUUGUAAUUUAAUUUGGGAGCAGAAACCCACUCAAAUGAUGCAGCGUAAGAAUGGUAACAAGCAUUAUUUCAAAAUACCCAGGGGAUUUCUUUGGCUUCAACUCCUCUUUCCUCCCCCAUGAAGCUAGAAUGGGCACUAGAAAAAAAGUUCAUGCAUUUGUCCGCGUCAAACCCACCGAUGAUUUUGCUCACGAAAUGAUCAAAUACGGAGAUGACAAUAAAAGCAUUGAUAUUCACUUAAAAAAAGAUCUUCAGAGAGGAGUUGUCAAUAACAAGCAGACAGACUGGUCUUUCAAGCUGGAUGGAGUUCUCCACAAUGCCUCCCAGGACUUAGUUUAUGAGACAGUUGCAAAGGAUGUGGUUGCUCAAGCCCUCGAUGGAUACAAUGGUACCAUCAUGUGUUACGGGCAGACAGGAGCCGGCAAGACAUACACCAUGACAGGGGCAACUGAGAAUUACAAGCACCGGGGGAUCCUUCCUCGUGCCCUACAGCAGGUUUUUAGGAUGAUCGAAGAACGCCCCACACAUGCCAUCGCUGUGCGUGUUUCCUACCUGGAAAUCUACAACGAGAGUCUCUUUGAUCUCCUGUCCACUCUGCCCUAUGUCGGACCAUCAGUCACACCAUUGACCAUUGUGGAAAACCCUCAAGGGGUCUUCGUUAAGGGCUUGUCAGUCCACCUUACAGGUCAGGAGGAGGAUGCCUUCAGUCUCCUUUUUGAGGGAGAGACCAACAGGAUUAUUGCCUCCCACACAAUGAACAAAAACUCAUCCCGGUCACACUGCAUUUUCACCAUCUACGUGGAGGCCCAUUCACGGACUUUAUCAGACGAAAAGUACAUCACUUCCAAAAUUAACUUGGUGGAUCUAGCGGGCUCGGAAAGGCUGGGGAAGUCUGGGUCGGAGGGCCGCGUGCUGAAGGAAGCCACCUACAUCAACAAGUCGCUAUCAUUCCUGGAGCAGGCCAUCAUUGCCCUCGGGGACCAGAAGCGGGACCACAUCCCCUUCCGGCAAUGCAAGCUCACCCACGCCCUGAAGGACUCAUUAGGGGGAAAUUGCAAUAUGGUCCUCUUGACGAACAUCUAUGGAGAAGCUGCCCAGUUGGAAGAGACGCUUUCUUCCCUGCGGUUUGCCAGCAGGAUGAAGCUGGUCACCACAGAGCCUGCCAUCAACGAAAAGUAUGAUGCUGAGCGAAUGGUCAAGAACCUGGAGAAGGAGCUGGUGCUGCUCAAGCAGGAGCUGGCCAUCCAUGACAGCCUGGCCAACCGUACCCUUGUGAACUAUGAUCCCAUGGAUGAAAUUCAGAUUGCUGAGAUCAACUCCCAGGUGCGGAGGUACCUGGAGGGGACCCUGGAUGAGAUUGACAUCAUCAACCUCAGACAGAUCCAGGAGGUGUUCAACCAGUUCCGGGUGGUGCUGAGCCAACAGGAACAGGAAGUGGAGUCCACUUUGCGCAGGAAAUACACCCUCAUAGACAAGAAUGACUUUGCUGCCAUCUCUGCAGUCCAGAAGGCAGGGCUUGUGGACGUUGAUGGCCACCUAGUGGGUGAGCCUGAUGGACAAGGCUUCGGACUCGGGGUCAUCCCUUACUCUACCAAACCUGGGAAGAAAUCCAAGUCCAAGAAGACGUUCAAAGAACAGCUCAGCUCCUCAGCAAAAAAGGAAGGUGCCAGCAGCCCUGUGAGUGGCAAGGAUUUGGAGGUCUCUACCUCCAAGACCCAGCUGACCCUGUCCUCCAAGGAGGGGGAUGUCAAAGAGCUGCCUCUGCGGGACCGGGAGACCUCCAGCAUUGAGCCUCUUCCCUCAGACUCCCCGAAGGAGGAAUCACGCCCACCCAGGCCCAGUACCCCACCCCCCAAACCUGUGGCCUUUGAGGACUUUAAGAAUGAGCGGGGCAGUGAGAUCAACCGCAUCUUCAAAGAGAACAAGUCCAUCUUGAACGAGCGGAGGAAAAGGGCCAGUGAGACCACACAGCGCAUCAAUGCCAUCAAGCGGGAGAUGGACAUGACCAAGGAGGCACUAAAUUUUCAGAAGUCACUCCGGGAGAAGCAAGGCGAGUAUGAGAGCAAGGGGCUGAUGAUCAUCGACGAGGAGGAAUUCCUGAUGAUCCUGAAGCUCAAAGACCUCAAGAAGCAGUACCGGGCUGAGUAUCAGGACCUGCGUGACCUCAGGGCUGAGAUCCAGUACUGCCAGCACUUGGUGGAUCAGUGUCGCCACCGCCUGCUCAUGGGUGUGCCAUUUGGGAAGAAUUUGAUAUCUGGUACAACGAGUCCUUCUUCAUCCCCGAGGACAUGCAAGUGUCACUGAAGCCAGCUAGUGGCAUCCGGCCAGGCAUGGUGCCUAUCAGCAGGCUCGUGGCUCUGGGAGAAGAUGACCAGGACAAGUUCAGCCAGCUGCAGCAGAUGAUGCUGCCAGAGGGCCCUGACUCCAUCUCCUUCUACAAUGCCAAAGUCAAGACAGAACAGAAGCGCAAUUACUUGAAAACCAUGAUGGGCCUCCAGCAGGGACACAGGAAAUAGGGACUAAUCGCCAAUACCUUAAAGGACAAGACUCCCAGGAACCCCCGCCUGUUCUAUAUGGGCUGCUAAACCACCUGCCCAGAGCUCCAAAUGCUCUGCUCCGAGGCUGGGGCCCAGCACAGAGAACUCACGAGGGCCUGCCUGCCUCCCAACGCAAACAUCCUUCACAGGACACCCUUGCUCAUCUUCACAGAACACUUUUGGUUUCAGUUCACUGUCUUAUAUGCAGGGACAGGAUAAACUAAUUUUCCAGUCUGGACUUUUGAUGCUCACUCAAGAACUUGCUUUUAUUUCCUGUCCAGGAGGAUGUCUUCCCUGUGUACAGGUGGGGUCAGAGCUGAAUCUCCAGUAAGAAGGUGAAAAAGUAGCUUAGCCACCCUCCUCCUGUCCCGGCUUUGUCCCACUGGCCAGCCCCUUUCCUUCUCUGGAUGGACAUCCUGGGGGUGAGCUGGGUCUGAGGAGCCCCACUUCUCACAGCUCCUUCAGGUCAUAGGUUCAUCAGGGCAUCCUUCCUGUGCUCCUGAGCCAGUGAAGGCGGGAGGCCCUCCUUCCUCAGCUACCAGAAGACGAAUGGGUUUAGGUGGAAAUGGCUGAAGGGCAGAUUUUUUUAUCUCACAAUAAGAAGAGGCUUAAAAUGAGAGCAGUGUUACCAUGAAGUUAGCAGGAAGAGCCCCACAGUAGGAGGCUCUCUGGCAAGGAGGUUACAGAACAUGCACUGGAUAGAAGGUUGAACUGGAUGGCAUUGGUCCAGAGACCCCGUGAUUCUGACUUCAGCCCGUCAGUGAACAGAUGGAUGGGGGUUUGUGGAAGACAGAAAGUAGAAAGGCAUCCUUAGGGUCUCUGCCCUCUUCCUGUUCAGCCCCUUUCUCUUUCACUGACUGAUACACAAUGAUCCUAAAAGAGCUUUCAGAGACUUCUACUACGCCAAGGCUUCGCAGAGCAGCUUUGAAGUGCCCCAGCUUCAUCCCCCUGGGUGAGACACACGGGGACUGUCCCUGACCAGCACUAAUGGUGUGCACACAGCCAUGUUGGUCAGUCCUCAUGUUUCCUUUGAUUGUGGCCAAAUAGACAAGUCUGCCCAGGCUCUGCCUACCUUCCCAGCUAGUGGAGGCCUUAGGCAGAGAGUUCGGAUUCUUUCCUUUCUUGGCUGCCCCUGCUCUUACCAGGACUUAUUGGGGGUUCCCAGGUCUUUGGGGCAUCUCAGGAAAGAGGACAUAGCAAACAGGUUACAUCAUCUUGUUGGGGCCACAGGAAGCAACUGUUUGUGGCUUCACCAACCGCCUUUCCUUCAUUCCAGCAGGGCCACAGGCCAGAAUGGCAUGGCCCUGCAGACAUCACUCCCUAGGAUUCCUAGAUGGCCAGUCUCGGGCCUGCUGGCCAGGGCGAGCUGGGCCUCUGUCACGGCAGUUGGGCACAUUCGUCUUUAGCUCAUUCAUUACUACACAGGCCUCUUUGGCACAACGUGAAACAGGCAGUGGCCGGCGUAGGCAGAGCCACAGGAAUAAGCCAGGAUGGUGCUCGGUAGAUCACCCUCCACACAAACUCCUCACAGGAGCAGAUGCUCCCAACGUGACAGGGAGCUAGGGGGCAUCAUGUCCACUCACAUGGGCCUGUUGUUCUAGAAACUAGUUCCAAAAUCACCCCUGAGGGGACUUCCAAUUCCAUCGUGUGACAGAUAAGAUAACCUGACAACUCUUGCUACAAACAGAAAUGCUGGCUC